GAGCGCCCCGCAAGGGGAGCGGCAGACGGGAGAGUAACACGUGGGAACGUACCCUUCAGUUCGGAACAACCCAGGGAAACUUGGGCUAAUACCGGAUACGUCCGUAAGGAGAAAGAUUUAUCGCUGAAGGAUCGGCCCGCGUCUGAUUAGCUAGUUGGUGAGGUAACGGCUCACCAAGGCUACGAUCAGUAGCUGGUCUGAGAGGAUGAUCAGCCUCACUGGGACUGAGACACGGCCCAGACUCCUACGGGAGGCAGCAGUGGGGAAUAUUGGACAAUGGGCGCAAGCCUGAUCCAGCCAUGCCGCGUGGAUGAUGAAGGCCUUAGGGUUGUAAAAUCCUUUCGGCGGGGAAGAUAAUGACGGUACCCGCAGAAGAAGCCCCGGCUAACUUCGUGCCAGCAGCCGCGGUAAUACGAAGGGGGCUAGCGUUGCUCGGAAUCACUGGGCGUAAAGCGCACGUAGGCGGCUUUUUAAGUCAGGGGUGAAAUCCUGGAGCUCAACUCCAGAACUGCCCUUGAUACUGAGAGGCUUGAGUCCGGGAGAGGUGAGUGGAACUGCGAGUGUAGAGGUGAAAUUCGUAGAUAUUCGCAAGAACACCAGUGGCGAAGGCGGCUCACUGGCCCGGUACUGACGCUGAGGUGCGAAAGCGUGGGGA
This 655-nucleotide ribosomal RNA is filed under the name uncultured bacterium. RNAcentral's name for it is "bacterial SSU rRNA". It matches the Rfam family "Bacterial small subunit ribosomal RNA", at positions 64 to 767 of the family's 1533-position model. The record is from RNAcentral.